UAAUUCUAGUGGCGGACGGGUGAGUAACGCGUGGGUAACCUGCCUUAUACAGGGGGAUAACAGUCAGAAAUGGCUGCUAAUACCGCAUAAGCCUACGGAGUCGCAUGACUCAGCAGGAAAAAUUCCGGUGGUACAGGAUGGGCCCGCGUCUGAUUAGCUAGUUGGUGAGGUAAUGGCUCACCAAGGCGACGAUCAGUAGCCGGCUUGAGAGAGUGAACGGCCACAUUGGGACUGAGACACGGCCCAAACUCCUACGGGAGGCAGCAGUGGGGAAUAUUGCACAAUGGGGGAAACCCUGAUGCAGCAACGCCGCGUGAGUGAAGAAGUAUUUCGGUAUGUAAAGCUCUAUCAGCAGGAAAGAAAAUGACGGUACCUGACUAAGAAGCCCCGGCUAACUACGUGCCAGCAGCCGCGGUAAUACGUAGGGGGCAAGCGUUAUCCGGAUUUACUGGGUGUAAAGGGAGCGUAGACGGUUUUGCAAGUCUGAAGUGAAAGCCCGGGGCUUAACCCCGGGACUGCUUUGGAAACUGUAGAACUAGAGUGCAGGAGAGGUAAGUGGAAUUCCUAGUGUAGCGGUGAAAUGCGUAGAUAUUAGGAGGAACACCAGUGGCGAAGGCGGCUUACUGGACUGUAACUGACGUUGAGGCUCGAAAGCGUGGGGAGCAAACAGG
This 671-nucleotide ribosomal RNA is filed under the name uncultured Lachnospiraceae bacterium. Its description in RNAcentral is "bacterial SSU rRNA". It matches the Rfam family "Bacterial small subunit ribosomal RNA", at positions 87 to 776 of the family's 1533-position model. Lineage: Bacteria; Bacillati; Bacillota; Clostridia; Lachnospirales; Lachnospiraceae. The record is from RNAcentral.